RNAcentral lists this transfer RNA (79 nucleotides) under Hirschia baltica ATCC 49814. RNAcentral's name for it is "tRNA-Ile2 (CAT) (tRNA-Ile2-CAT-2-1)". The record is from RNAcentral. Lineage: Bacteria; Pseudomonadati; Pseudomonadota; Alphaproteobacteria; Hyphomonadales; Hyphomonadaceae.
GGGAGAUGGGCGGAGAAACUAAAAAAGGCCAAUCAUCAAACUCAUAACCUGAAGGUCGUUGGUUCAAAUCCAACCCCCG